This 88-nucleotide transfer RNA is filed under the name Paenibacillaceae bacterium. RNAcentral's name for it is "tRNA-Tyr". It matches the Rfam family "tRNA". From Rfam's summary of the family: Transfer RNA (tRNA) molecules are approximately 80 nucleotides in length. Their secondary structure includes four short double-helical elements and three loops (D, anti-codon, and T loops). Further hydrogen bonds mediate the characteristic L-shaped molecular structure. tRNAs have two regions of fundamental functional importance: the anti-codon, which is responsible for specific mRNA codon recognition, and the 3' end, to which the tRNAs corresponding amino acid is attached (by aminoacyl-tRNA synthetases). tRNAs cope with the degeneracy of the genetic code in two manners: having more than one tRNA (with a specific anti-codon) for a particular amino acid; and 'wobble' base-pairing, i.e. permitting non-standard base-pairing at the 3rd anti-codon position. Lineage: Bacteria; Bacillati; Bacillota; Bacilli; Caryophanales; Paenibacillaceae. The record is from RNAcentral.
GAGUCGGUAGCGAAGCGGUUGAACGCGGCAGACUGUAAAUCUGCUCCUCUUCGGAGGCUCGUUGGUUCGAAUCCAACCCGGCUCACCA